GACGUAGGGUCCAAGCGUUGUCCGGAUUCACUGGGUUUAAAGGGUGCGUAGGCGGGCAGGUAAGUCAGUGGUGAAAUCUUUGGGCUUAACCCGAAAACUGCCAUUGAUACUAUCUGUCUUGAAUAUUGUGGAGGUUUGCGGAAUAUGUCAUGUAGCGGUGAAAUGCUUAGAUAUGACAUAGAACACCUAUUGCGAAGGCAGCAAACUACGCAUAUAUUGACGCUGAGGCACGAAAGCGUGGGGAUCAAACAGG
This 253-nucleotide ribosomal RNA is filed under the name uncultured bacterium. RNAcentral's name for it is "partial 16S ribosomal RNA". It matches the Rfam family "Bacterial small subunit ribosomal RNA", at positions 524 to 776 of the family's 1533-position model. The record is from RNAcentral.